ACGGCAAGCUGUGGUAUAGACGAGUGUCCGUGCGGUAAAUAAUUAUUGUUCUUUUACCUACGUCAAACGAACAAGAACUUACUUCUCCAACAUUCAACCUUACCUCUUCUAACACUAGAACAUGCCGUAGAAAAAUUAAUGUUGAUAUCGGUGAUGCUAUUUAUAAACUUCCAUUUAAGCACGGUUGGAAUUAAGAAUUAACUUACAGAAAAUCUACUAUUAAUAAAAUUUGUGACGUGUACUAUCAUUCUCCAACUAACAAAAAAGUUAGAACUUUUUGAGAAAUUCAGGGACAAUUGGACAUCUUAUCUGAUAAAGAUCUAACCAUAGAAAAUUUUACAUUUUUACCACAACCAAUUGGCAUGAAUGAUCGAUCUAAAGAAUUUUCCAGAGAUACAUAUUCUAAAUUAUCUAAAAAUGACUUUGUAGGUGUUGCUGUUAGACCUAAAAAAUCUAAGACACCUGUACAGCGGCCACCAUUUGAAUAUGAAUUGUCAGAUGAUGAAAACAACAAGUCUUCGAGUAAAAUGAAAAUUGUUUUUAAAAAUGCUAAGAGCGCCUCUAGAUUGAGAUCU
Long non-coding RNA from Acyrthosiphon pisum (pea aphid), 575 nucleotides. RefSeq lists it as uncharacterized. The transcript is spliced from 4 exons. The record is from RefSeq and is a predicted model, not a curated record. Lineage: Eukaryota; Metazoa; Arthropoda; Insecta; Hemiptera; Aphididae.